UCAGGUGCAAUAUAGAGCCAUCAUCUCAAACCGGAUGAUGAUAUUCACCAGCUGCCAAGCUGAAGAUGACUAUCAACACCAUGAUGGUAGCCAUCAUCUCUAUCCUUCUGCUAACCCUGGUGGUUGUUUCACUAGCACCACCUUCACCAAUUACAAGCUCAAAUAAUGUCCGAAAAUCUCGACGCAGCAUCAUCGUACACGGUAACCUGCUGCUGAUGAUAACUCCAAAUUCCUGCCACUUUCUUUUUCUCAGGCUCUACACAUGCACUCAUCCUCUUGAUGCUUUUAGGAUGCCUUCUGCUGCUCAUAAAGCUUUUUAACUAUUUUUCUAUCAGAAUAUUUUUCAGAUAUUGAUGAUCUUUUGGCAUUUGUAGCCAAUAGUGCCCUGUAUAGAUUGCUUUGUCACAGCCUUAAGACUGAUUUAAAAUGUUAUUAUGGUAUAAGCAUAAUUUACAGCUCUGGGUAACAUUGUCAGGUUGCAACAACAACUGCAGUAUGGCCUGCUGCUACUGCAACAUUCAAAGAUCGCCACCAGUUUGUGAAAGGUGCUGUGGAUAAUUUGAACUCCAUGAAGAACGCGGCAUGAACAAUAUACAUGUUUUCAUUUAUUUGUUCCCCACAACGAUGAAGCAGCGCUUGAUUUCAUGGCACUUUCUCAUCUUCUAAUUAACGAUGAAGUAAAGAAUUAUCUGGUAUAUGGAAUAGCACUGGAAAAGAAAAUUUCAUUGCUAGUUAUUUCUGUUUGUUAUCUGGAAGCAACAGCUCUGAAUUCGACAAUCUCAGAGCUACCAUGGCUGUAACCAUUAGGUAAAGAAUAGUUUCAAGCUCAUUGAAACUUAUAUUCUGUGGACCAUGAAUCCACAUUUCA
This 868-nucleotide long non-coding RNA is filed under the name Setaria italica (foxtail millet). RNAcentral's name for it is "long non-coding RNA (SITA_LNC000815)". The record is from RNAcentral. Lineage: Eukaryota; Viridiplantae; Streptophyta; Magnoliopsida; Poales; Poaceae.